UCCGUCUCCUGAGUAUCUGGGAUUUCAGAUGUGCACCACUGUGCUUGGCUCAUUAGCUGGUUUCAAAGGGUCCCAGAGGGACAUCUGAACUGGCCCCCAUUCUGUCUGGUGGUACUAAAUGUGACUCACCUGGCCCAUCAGAUCACAGUUGACCGCUUCAAUAGGAAGGU
RNAcentral lists this long non-coding RNA (170 nucleotides) under Ictidomys tridecemlineatus (thirteen-lined ground squirrel). RNAcentral's name for it is "lncRNA (ENSSTOG00000032634.1)". The record is from RNAcentral. Lineage: Eukaryota; Metazoa; Chordata; Mammalia; Rodentia; Sciuridae.